CAGUCGCCACGGUAAUACGUAGGGCGCAAGCGUUGUCCGGAAUUAUUGGGCGUAAAGAGCUCGUAGGCGGUCUGUCGCGUCUGGUGUGAAAUCCCGAGGCUCAACCUCGGGCUUGCAUCGGGUACGGGCAGACUAGAGUGCGGUAGGGGAGACUGGAAUUCCUGGUGUAGCGGUGGAAUGCGCAGAUAUCAGGAGGAACACCGAUGGCGAAGGCAGGUCUCUGGGCCGCAACUGACGCUGAGGAGCGAAAGCAUGGGGAGCGAACAGGAUUAGAUACCCCAGUAGUCCCUGUCUCUUAUAA
RNAcentral lists this ribosomal RNA (301 nucleotides) under uncultured bacterium. RNAcentral's name for it is "partial 16S ribosomal RNA". It matches the Rfam family "Bacterial small subunit ribosomal RNA", at positions 509 to 809 of the family's 1533-position model. The record is from RNAcentral.